CUACGGGAGGCAGCAGUGGGGAAUAUUGCACAAUGGGCGCAAGCCUGAUGCAGCCAUGCCGCGUGUAUGAAGAAGGCCUUCGGGUUGUAAAGUACUUUCAGCGGGGAGGAAGGGAGUAAAGUUAAUACCUUUGCUCAUUGACGUUACCCGCAGAAGAAGCACCGGCUAACUCCGUGCCAGCAGCCGCGGUAAUACGGAGGGUGCAAGCGGUAAUCGGAAUUACUGGGCGUAAAGCGCACGCAGGCGGUUUGUUAAGUCAGAUGUGAAAUCCCCGGGCUCAACCUGGGAACUGCAUCUGAUACUGGCAAGCUUGAGUCUCGUAGAGGGGGGUAGAAUUCCAGGUGUAGCGGUGAAAUGCGUAGAGAUCUGGAGGUAUACCGGUGGCGAAGGCGGCCCCCUGGACGAAGACUGACGCUCAGGUGCGAAAGCGUGGGGAGCAAACAGGAUUAGAUACCCCCGUAGUC
RNAcentral lists this ribosomal RNA (464 nucleotides) under uncultured bacterium. Its description in RNAcentral is "partial 16S ribosomal RNA". It matches the Rfam family "Bacterial small subunit ribosomal RNA", at positions 339 to 795 of the family's 1533-position model. The record is from RNAcentral.